Molecule: unclassified non-coding RNA, 379 nt
Filed under: uncultured Gammaproteobacteria bacterium
Lineage: Bacteria; Pseudomonadati; Pseudomonadota; Gammaproteobacteria
Description: contains 16S-23S intergenic spacer region
Source: RNAcentral
UCCGGUUCUUCACCAGCAGUCUCCUUAGAGUCCCCACCAUCACGUGUUGGCAACUAAGGAUAAGGGUUGCGCUCGUUACGGGACUUAACCCAACAUCUCACAACACGAGCUGACGACAGCCAUGCAGCACCUGUCUCGCGGUUCCUUUCGGCACUAAUGCAUCUCUGCACCAUUCCGCGGAUCUCAAGGGUAGGUAAGGUUCUUCGCGUUGCAUCGAAUUAAACCACAUGCUCCACCGCUUGUGCGGGCCCCCGUCAAUUCCUUUGAGUUUUAACCUUGCGGCCGUACUCCCCAGGCGGAGGACUUAUCGCGUUUGCUUCGAUACUCACCCGCUCGCGCGGGCCAACAUCUAGUCCUCAUCGUUUACAGCGUGGACUAC